This is a non-coding RNA of Poecilia reticulata (guppy), 727 nucleotides long. Lineage: Eukaryota; Metazoa; Chordata; Actinopteri; Cyprinodontiformes; Poeciliidae. The record is from RefSeq and is a predicted model, not a curated record.
UAUCAUGCCUCAUGUGGACCUUCUCUAUGCCAAACUCCAGAAGAAGGUCAUAGAUUCAGUCUAUAUCCAGGAGAGCAUCCAACAGUUCCAGCAGGACAUUCAAAAGAUCAGAAAUUCUCUCCACUCCAUGGUUGGACAAAGCAGUGUAGGUAGUGGUUAGCCAGUGAAGAAGCGUCGGACACUCGGUGUAGAAGACCAUGAAAGGAUUGCUGCAGAGGUCUGUGAUAUCAUACUGGGACACACCAGGGAGCGCUUUUCUUUCACAAACCACCUUGUUAGUGCCACMCUCCUGCAGGGGGACAGAUUUGAACAAUACAACACAGCAUUUCCUGAAGAUGCACUGAGCAACACCUUAAAAGCCUAUCCAGUGCUCARUCGAGGUAAACUGAAGACAGAGCUUACUCUCAUCUACAGCAAGGAAGAGUUCAAAGCCUGUUGUGGUGCUGUGGGCCUACUCCAGCUGUUUAUGGAAAACAAUCUAGAAGAAGUAUUUUUGGAAACUGUCACGCUCUUGAAGAUCCUCAUCACCACACCCAUGACCACAGCAGAAGCUGAAAGGUGCUUUUCAACUCUGAAAAGAAUCAAGACUUUUCUGAGAAACUCAGGACAGGCUGAAUGCAUUGGCCAUGUUGUCAAUGGAGAAAAGACUGGUCAAAGAGAUGACUGACUUUAACAAGAAUGUAAUUGAGAAAUUUGCAGGGCAGAAGGAAAGGAGGGCAAAAUUCAU